Molecule: ribosomal RNA, 483 nt
Filed under: uncultured bacterium
Lineage: Bacteria
Description: partial 16S ribosomal RNA
Rfam family: Bacterial small subunit ribosomal RNA
Source: RNAcentral
GACGAACGCUGGCGGCGUGCUUAACACAUGCAAGUCGAACGCUGAAGCUCAGCUUUCGUUGGGUGGAUGAGUGGCGAACGGGUGAGUAACACGUGAGUAACCUGCCUCCUUCUUUGGGAUAACGCCCGGAAACGGGUGCUAAUACUGGAUAUUCACUGGUCUUCGCAUGGGGGUUGGUGGAAAGGGUUUUUCUGGUGGGGGAUGGGCUCGCGGCCUAUCAGCUUGUUGGUGGGGUGAUGGCCUACCAAGGCUUUGACGGGUAGCCGGCCUGAGAGGGUGACCGGUCACAUUGGGACUGAGAUACGGCCCAGACUCCUACGGGAGGCAGCAGUGGGGAAUAUUGCACAAUGGGCGCAAGCCUGAUGCAGCGACGCCGCGUGAGGGAUGGAGGCCUUCGGGUUGUGAACCUCUUUCGCUCAUGGUCAAGCCGCAACAAUGGUUGUGGUGAGGGUAGUGGGUAAAGAAGCGCCGGCUAACUACGUG